CCUACGGGAGGCAGCAGUGAGGAAUAUUGGUCAAUGGAAGCAAGUCUGAACCAGCCAUGUAGCGUGCAGGAAGACGGCUCUAUGAGUUGUAAACUGCUUUUAUACGAGGAUAAACGCAGAUACGCGUAUCUGUCUGAAAGUAUCUUACGAAUAAGGAUCGGCUAACUCCGUGCCAGCAGCCGCGGUAAUACGGAGGAUUCGAGCGUUAUCCGGAUUUAUUGGGUUUAAAGGGUGCGUAGACGGUCGGUUAAGUUAGAGGUGAAAUCAUGAGGCUCAACUUCCGAAUUGCCUCUGAUACUGGUAGGCUAGAGAGUAGUUGCGGUAGGCGGAAUGUAUGGUGUAGCGGUGAAAUGCUUGGAGAUCAGACAGAACACCGAUUGCGAAGGCAGCUUACCAAGCUACUUCUGACGUUGAGGCACGAAAGCGUGGGGAGCAAACAGGAUUAGAUACCCUUGUAGUC
RNAcentral lists this ribosomal RNA (460 nucleotides) under uncultured bacterium. RNAcentral describes it as "partial 16S ribosomal RNA". It matches the Rfam family "Bacterial small subunit ribosomal RNA", at positions 338 to 795 of the family's 1533-position model. The record is from RNAcentral.